RNAcentral lists this ribosomal RNA (271 nucleotides) under uncultured Peredibacter sp. Its description in RNAcentral is "partial 16S ribosomal RNA". It matches the Rfam family "Bacterial small subunit ribosomal RNA", at positions 595 to 864 of the family's 1533-position model. The record is from RNAcentral. Lineage: Bacteria; Pseudomonadati; Bdellovibrionota; Bacteriovoracia; Bacteriovoracales; Bacteriovoracaceae.
UGAAAUCUCGAAGCUCAACUUCGAAACUGCGUCUGAAACUGCUAGUCUAGAGUGUCGGAGGGGGAAGGGGAAUUUCGCAUGUAGGGGUAAAAUCCGUAGAUAUGCGAAGGAACACCAGAGGCGAAGGCGCCUUCCUGGACAAGUAUUGACGCUGAGGCGCGAAAGCGUGGGGAUCAAACAGGAUUAGAUACCCUGGUAGUCCACGCUGUAAACGAUGAAUACUAGUUAUUGGGGGUAUUGACUCCCUCAGUGACGCAGCUAACGCAUUAAG